Jaculus jaculus (lesser Egyptian jerboa) is the source of this 648-nucleotide non-coding RNA. Lineage: Eukaryota; Metazoa; Chordata; Mammalia; Rodentia; Dipodidae. The record is from the annotation of a RefSeq genome assembly.
AUGGCUUGCCCUGCUCAGCUCCUGGGGCUGAUCAUGCUCUGGAUCCCUGGAUCCAUUGGUGAUGUCGUGAUGACCCAGACUCCACUGUCCCUGUCUGUCACACCAGGAGAGCCCGCCUCCAUCUCCUGCAGGUCGAGUCAGAGUCUCCUAUAUAGUGAUGGAUACACAUAUCUACAUUGGUACCUGCAAAGACCAGGCCAGUCUCCAAGGCUCCUGAUAUAUACAGUUUCCAAUCGCUUCUCUGGUGUCCCAGACCGAUUCAGUGGCAGUGGGUCUGGGACAGAUUUCACACUCAAAAUCAGCAGAGUAGAGCCUGAGGACGUAGGAGUUUAUUACUGCUCUCAAGAUACACAUGACCCUCCCACAGUGGUAUAUAGUAAUCCUGGUUGUGGGCUGUUUAUUGAUGAACAGGGAGUCUUGGACAAUAUUGUGUCCAUAGAAUUCAGCCUCCUGCUCAGUGUACUGAUGGAAGAAAUUCCCCAUCACUUCUCACCAGCAGAAUAUAAGGAAAUGUCAAAAUCUGGCAAUGUGUUACAUCUAUUUGACAAAGAUGGUGCAGCAGUGAUAAAGGUUGAUGAAGUUGAAAACUCUGUUGCUUGGUCUCUGCUGCUGCUGCCACCUGGUGUAAGUGCAGGGCAGCUGCGUUGA